UUAAGCCCCGAGAGUGUAAAUUUGGAACGAAUCGAUGUCAACGUUCACAAGAACCAAAACCGGAACAACAUUAGACUACUCAGUUGCGCCCUAACAGUAUAACUUUGCAAUGAGUACUUUUUCUCAUUUAAUCGAACAAAGAGUAAAACCUAAUUAAAUUGUUUGAUUAAGCCCCGAGAGUGUAAAGUUGGAACGAAUAGAUAUCAACGUUCACACAAACCAAAAUCGGAACAACAUUAGACUACUCACUUACACCCUAACAGUAUAAAUUUGCAACCAGUACUUUUUCUCAUUCUAUCGAACAAAGAGAAAAAGCUAAUUAUAUUGUUCUAUUAUGCCCCGAGAGUGUAAAUUUGGAACGAAUUGAUGUCAACGUUCACAAGAAUCAAAACCGGAACCACAUUAGACUGCUCACUUGCGCCCUAACAGUAUAACUUCGCAACAACUACUUUUUCUCAUUCAAUCGAACAAAUAGUAAAACCUAAUUAUAUUGUUCUAUUAAGCCCCGAGAGUGUAAAUUUGGAACGAAUUGAUGUCAACGUUCCAAAUUUAUUGUUCGAUUAGACACAACUACUCAGUUGCGUCCUAACAGUAUAACUUUGCAACGAGUACUUUUUCUCAUUUAAUCGAAUAAAGAGUAAAACCUAAUUAAAUUGUUCGAUUAAGCCCCGAGAGUGUAAAGUUGGAACGAAUCGAUGUCAACGUUCACAAAACCAAAACCAGAACAAUAUUAGACUACUCAGUUGCGCCCAAAUAGUAUAACUUUGCAACGAGUACUUUUUCUCAUUCAAUCGAACAAAGAGUAAAACCUAAUUAUAUUGUACUAGUAAGCCCCGAGAGUGUAAAUUUGGAACGAAUCGAUGUCAACGUUCAUAAGAACCAAAACCGGAACAACAUUAGAUUACUCAGUUCCGCCUUAACAGUAUAACUUUACAACGAGUACUUUUUCUCAUUCAAUCAAACAAAGUGUAAAACC
Molecule: long non-coding RNA, 976 nt
Filed under: Ananas comosus (pineapple)
Lineage: Eukaryota; Viridiplantae; Streptophyta; Magnoliopsida; Poales; Bromeliaceae
Description: long non-coding RNA (ACOM_LNC003524)
Source: RNAcentral